RNAcentral lists this long non-coding RNA (898 nucleotides) under Marmota monax (woodchuck). The record is from RNAcentral. Lineage: Eukaryota; Metazoa; Chordata; Mammalia; Rodentia; Sciuridae.
GCACCCCUGGGUUCCAUGCUUAGUAUCAAAAAUAAAUAAAUAAAUAAAUAACAGGGAACUUGCUCCUGAUUCUAAGAGGAAUCUUGUGGACAUUAUGGACAUAGAUCCACGGACAGAGUGUGGUCUGUCCAGACUCUGCACUCCAUGACUUCUGCCUACCUUGUCUUUCUUCAGGCCUGGCUGCCUGCCGCAGAAUGCCCUCCUGCUCAUGUCCCUCUUCUUGGAUGGCUCUUCUCCCUGCUCUGCCUGUUGAUUCCUACAUUUAAGGACCCACACUUGUUACCUGUCCUUAAAGCCUUUUUUUUUUUCCCCAAUACUGGGGCUUGACACAGCAGCUCUAAGUCUCAGUGUUUGUGAAAUGAGUGAUGAAGCCCCGGGCCCUUCCUCUGGUACCUCGUGAGCAGUUGCUGGCUUCCUGACAGUUUUGGGGAAUGUGUAAGCUUAAAACAUGCCCUUGCAAUCUCCAGCACCCUAAAACAAAACAAAACAAAAAAAUUCCCCAAGUAGCUGCAUCUGCAUAUUCCAAUUUAGUGAUGUCCCCAUGAACUCGCUAUUUACAUGCUGAGAUCAAACUUCAACCUACGGACUUGGUUUACCUGUCAUUGAUCUGACACUUUGGGGCUGACUGUGAUUAACCAGUAGGCUCAACACAUUCUGAGGCUGGUGGUGGUCUCUCAUGGUCAGGCCUCUGCAGUGCGUUAGAAGAGGGUGAACAUCCCCUGGCGGUGCUGGGAGAUGUGUGAUUUAUCUGAAAAGGGAAGGGACUUGAGCAGCUAGUUCAAAAAACAGGUCCAGCAAGGCGCGGCCCCAUUGGGCUUGCUGCUCGGCACCACACCCCUGCUGCUCCGGGGAGCUGUUCAUCCCCCGCAGUAGGGCAGCCCCAUCCACCAGACCUCAA